CACAUAGCAAUAUUCCAAAUCCUAGGAGAUCAAAGGGCAGAGAAUGAAAGGACAAAGAGGGAAAGCACACUCGAUCGAUAGGUGUAGGAAGAGUGUGAGGAAGAUAAGGGACAAUAAGGUCAGAGUGUUAGUCAAAACGGUCGGAGAUUUGUUGGGGAUUCUGAGAGGCAUGCGCGGGGCGUCAUCCCAUCAGCUGUAGCUAUCGGAACCGCAGGCAGAUGAAUACGAAUGCCCCGGCCCCUAUUAAGACUGUACCCGUUCUAUGUUUGACUGUUGCACUCCUUUCAUCUCUAGUCGUUUUCCGCGGCAGAGAUUAGUACACACGCGAUCUGUGUGUUUGCUGUUUGUCUCUGGACGAGACGACUGGGCUUUCUUGAUUGGGGUUUGCCAAUUAUAGGUAGACAAUCUCGACAUCACGUUGAUUUUCCCUCUUAGCUUCUGUUUUUGCCAUCCCCUUCUUUUUGCCAUUUUCUUCUCGGAAUAUGGUGAUUGGGGUUUUGCCAAUUAUAGGUAGACAAUCUCGACAUCACGUAGAUUUUCCCUCUUAGCUUCUGUUUUUGCCAUCCC
Molecule: long non-coding RNA, 567 nt
Filed under: Nicotiana benthamiana
Lineage: Eukaryota; Viridiplantae; Streptophyta; Magnoliopsida; Solanales; Solanaceae
Description: long non-coding RNA (NBEN_LNC034151)
Source: RNAcentral